GUACGGGGAAGGAUGAGAAGCUUCGACUAAGGUUCGAUUCGAGCGAAAGCGAGAAAGCGUUGCCGCAGGCAACGACCCGAAGGGCGAAGCGCGCAGCGCUGAGUCAUCCUUCCCCCACCACCA
This 123-nucleotide small RNA is filed under the name Salmonella enterica. RNAcentral describes it as "partial RtT sRNA". It matches the Rfam family "RtT RNA". Rfam says of the family: This family represents a bacterial cis-regulatory element known as RtT RNA. RNAcentral also lists the same sequence under 2 other names. The record is from RNAcentral. Lineage: Bacteria; Pseudomonadati; Pseudomonadota; Gammaproteobacteria; Enterobacterales; Enterobacteriaceae.